This 210-nucleotide long non-coding RNA is filed under the name Helianthus annuus (common sunflower). RNAcentral's name for it is "sRNA HanXRQr2_Chr03g0132031". Lineage: Eukaryota; Viridiplantae; Streptophyta; Magnoliopsida; Asterales; Asteraceae. The record is from RNAcentral.
UUUUUCCACCCUUUCUCUAGCGAUCCUGAUGCAGUUCUUUGCUCUUCCUCUGAAACCUUUGGCUAGCUUAAAUACUUCCUUCUUGUUCAUCUUUCUACCGACUUUUGUUCUUCACUCUUACCUGUAGCUAACAGAGAAGCGGUCACCUUUUCGCCGUAGAGCAGAGUGAGACUUUGGGGCUUUUUGCGGCUGCUGGACUUGCGAUUGCGG